UACGGGGGGAGCAAGCGUUGUUUGGAUUUACUGGGCGUAAAGGGCGCGUAGGCGGCCACCGCAAGUCGACUGUGAAAUCUCCGGGCUUAACCCGGAAAGGUCAGCCGAUACUGCGGGGCUAGAGUGCAGAAGGGGCAACUGGAAUUCUCGGUGUAGUGGUGAAAUGCGUAGAUAUCGAGAGGAACACCUGCGGCGAAGGCGGGUUGCUGGGCUGACACUGACGCUGAUGCGCGAAAGCUAGGGGAGCGAACGGG
RNAcentral lists this ribosomal RNA (254 nucleotides) under uncultured bacterium. RNAcentral's name for it is "partial 16S ribosomal RNA". It matches the Rfam family "Bacterial small subunit ribosomal RNA", at positions 524 to 776 of the family's 1533-position model. The record is from RNAcentral.